RNAcentral lists this ribosomal RNA (1346 nucleotides) under metagenome. Its description in RNAcentral is "bacterial LSU rRNA". It matches the Rfam family "Bacterial large subunit ribosomal RNA", at positions 1594 to 2925 of the family's 2925-position model. The record is from RNAcentral.
AUGAUCCUAUGCUGCCGAGAAAAGCCUCUAGCGAGCUGGUACAUGGCCCGUACCCCAAACCGACACAGGUGGUCAGGUAGAGAAUACUAAGGCGAUCGAGAGAACUGUGGUUAAGGAACUCGGCAAAAUGCCCCCGUAACUUCGGGAGAAGGGGGACCAGUCCUGGUGACGACAUUUACUGUCUGAGCUGGGGUUGGUCGCAGAGACCAGAGAGAAGCGACUGUUUACUAAAAACACAGGUCCGUGCGAAGUCGUAAGACGAUGUAUACGGACUGACGCCUCCCCGGUGCUGGAAGGUUAAGAGGACCGGUCAGCCACUUCGGUGGCGAAGCUGAGAAUUUAAGCCCCAGUAAACGGCGGUGGUAACUAUAACCAUCCUAAGGUAGCGAAAUUCCUUGUCGGGUAAGUUCCGACCUGCACGAAUGGCGUAACGACUUCUCUGCUGUCUCAACCACAGACUCGGCGAAAUUGCAGUACGAGUAAAGAUGCUCGUUACGCGCGGCAGGACGAAAAGACCCCGGGACCUUCACUAUAGCUUGGUAUUGGUGUUCGGUUCGGUUUGUGUAGGAUAGGUGGGAGACUGUGAAACUCGCACGCCAGUGUGGGUGGAGUCAUUGUUGAAAUACCACUCUGACCGUAUUGGACAUCUAACCUCGGACCAUGAUCUGGUUCAGGGACAGUGCCUGGUGGGUAGUUUAACUGGGGCGGUUGCCUCCCAAAAAGUAACGGAGGCGCCCAAAGGUUCCCUCAGCCUGGUUGGCAAUCAGGUGUUGAGUGUAAGUGCACAAGGGAGCUUGACAGUGAGACGUACAUGUCGAGCAGGGACGAAAGUCGGGACUAGUGAUCCGGCACCGGCAAGUGGAAGCGGUGUCGCUCAACGGAUAAAAGGUACCCCGGGGAUAACAGGCUGAUCUUCCCCAAGAGUCCAUAUCGACGGGAUGGUUUGGCACCUCGAUGUCGGCUCGUCGCAUCCUGGGGCUGGAGUAGGUCCCAAGGGUUGGGCUGUUCGCCCAUUAAAGCGGCACGCGAGCUGGGUUUAGAACGUCGUGAGACAGUUCGGUCUCUAUCCGCCGCGCGCGUAAGAAACUUGAGGAAACCUGUCCCUAGUACGAGAGGACCGGGACGGACGAACCUCUGGUGUGCCAGUUGUUCCACCAGGAGCACCGCUGGUUAGCUACGUUCGGAAGGGAUAACCGCUGAAAGCAUCUAAGCGGGAAGCCUGUUCCAAGAUGAGGUUUCUCACCACCUAGCGUGGUUAAGGCCCCCCACAGACCAUGGGGUUGAUAGGCCAGAACUGUAAGCACAGCAAUGUGUUCAGGUGACUGGUACUAAUCGGCCGAGGACUU